CUUUGGGUACGGAACCCGAAAAAUGUUAAAAUAUGAGUCUAUGAAACAGUCAAAAGUUUCAUAGACUCAUACAUACAUACUGAGCAUAACCCGACACGCACUUGUGUCUUUCCAGGGAAACCACUAGUCCCAGGCAGAAACUGUCCAGGUCGUGUUUUGAAAGAGCGAUAACACGAUUUUUUAGUGUUAUGUAAAAUAUGAUACAUCAUGAUAAUAUGAUAUAUGAUACAGUUGUACACAAUAUCUACGAGCCACAAACAUGUUGAAAAUAUAGACAUGUGUAUUCAAAGCUACUAUUUGUAUUUUUAAAGAAAAUUAUAAAAAUGCAAAUGAGAAUUUCCGACUUACAUAUUGUUGAUAACAUUUUGUUGACUGACACUUUUGCAGGAAUGUAAAAAAAUUAUCUUGUUACACGAAUGCUUUUAAAUAAAUGCAACUUGUAUAUUUCUU
Helicoverpa zea (corn earworm) is the source of this 450-nucleotide long non-coding RNA. RefSeq lists it as uncharacterized. The record is from RefSeq and is a predicted model, not a curated record. NCBI's taxonomy places the organism in Eukaryota, Metazoa, Arthropoda, Insecta, Lepidoptera, Noctuidae. The transcript has 2 exons.